GGUCAAGUUUUUAAGGGCACACGGUGGAUGCCUUGGCAUUAGGAGCCGAAGAAGGACGUAGGAAUCUGCGAUAAGCCUGGGGGAGUUGAUAACCGAGCGUUGAUCCCAGGAUGUCCGAAUGGGGAAACCCCGCACAACGCUGUCAUGGUGAUUGUGUGACCCGCAUCUGAACACAUAGGGUGCGUGGGGGGAACGCGGGGAAGUGAAACAUCUCAGUACCCGCAGGAAGAGAAAACAAUAGUGAUUCCGUUAGUAGUGGCGAGCGAACGCGGAUCAGGCUAAACCGUUUCCAUGUGUGAUAGCCGGCGGGCGUUGCAUGGGCGGGGUUGUGGGACUUUCCGUUCUGGUUCUGCCGGACCAGUGAGGUGAGGUGCAGGCAUAGGUGAACGGUCUUGAAAGGCCGGCCAGAGAGGGUGUGAGCCCCGUAACCGUAAUGUUGUGCACGGCCUGGGGAGUAUCCCAAGUAGCACGGGGCCCGAGAAAUCCCGUGCGAAUCUGUCAGGACCACCUGAUAAGCCUAAAUACUUCCUAAUGACCGAUAGCGGACCAGUACCGUGAGGGAAAGGUGAAAAGUACCCCGGGAGGGGAGUGAAACAGUACCUGAAACCGUGUGCUUACAAUCCGUCGGAGCAGUCGUGAGUAAUCACAAGUAACUGUGACGGCGUGCCUUUUGAAGAAUGAGCCUGCGAGUUAGUGUUACGUCGCGAGGUUAACCCGUGUGGGGUAGCCGUAGCGAAAGCGAGUCUGAAUAGGGCGAGUGUAGUGGCGUGAUCUAGACCCGAAGCGGAGUGAUCUACCCAUGGCCAGGUUGAAGCGACGGUAAGACGUCGUGGAGGACCGAACCCACUUCAGUUGAAAAUGGAGGGGAUGAGCUGUGGGUAGGGGUGAAAGGCCAAUCAAACUCCGUGAUAGCUGGUUCUCCCCGAAAUGCAUUUAGGUGCAGCGUUGCGUGUUUCUUGCCGGAGGUAGAGCUACUGGAUGGCCGAUGGGCCCUACAAGGUUACUGACGUCAGCCAAACUCCGAAUGCCGGUAAGUCAGAGCGCAGCAGUGAGACUGUGGGGGAUAAGCUUCAUAGUCGAGAGGGAAACAGCCCAGACCACCAACUAAGGCCCCUAAGCGUGUGCUAAGUGGGAAAGGAUGUGGAGUUGCGAAGACAACCAGGAGGUUGGCUUAGAAGCAGCCAUCCUUGAAAGAGUGCGUAAUAGCUCACUGGUCAAGUGAUUCCGCGCCGACAAUGUAGCGGGGCUCAAGUACACCGCCGAAGUUGUGGAUUUCACAUAAUGCCCUAGCCUUCGUGGUUCAGGGGUGUGGAGUGGUAGGGGAGCGUCGUGUGGGCAGUGAAGUCGCGGUGGAAACCAGCGGUGGAGCCUACACGAGUGAGAAUGCAGGCAUGAGUAGCGAAAGACGGGUGAGAAACCCGUCCGCCGAAUGAUCAAGGGUUCCAGGGUCAAGCUAAUCUGCCCUGGGUAAGUCGGGACCUAAGGCGAGGCCGACAGGCGUAGUCGAUGGACAACGGGUUGAUAUUCCCGUACCGGCGAAAAACCGCCCAUGCCAAGCGGGGGAUACUAACCGCCCGGAGCCUGCCCGCCCACCCUUGUGGUGUGUGGGUUUUGGCCGAGCGCGGGACCUGAUCCCGGGAGGUAAGCGUAUUAACAGGUGUGACGCAGGAAGGUAGCCGGGCCGGGCGAUGGUUGCCCCGGUCUAAGGAUGUAGGGUCAGGGAUAGGCAAAUCCGUUCCUGUGUGCUUCGAGCACGAUCCUGAGAUCUGAUGGGACCCCCGU
Molecule: ribosomal RNA, 1782 nt
Filed under: Paenarthrobacter aurescens
Lineage: Bacteria; Bacillati; Actinomycetota; Actinomycetes; Micrococcales; Micrococcaceae
Description: partial 23S ribosomal RNA
Rfam family: Bacterial large subunit ribosomal RNA
Source: RNAcentral